RNAcentral lists this ribosomal RNA (478 nucleotides) under uncultured bacterium. Its description in RNAcentral is "partial 16S ribosomal RNA". It matches the Rfam family "Bacterial small subunit ribosomal RNA", at positions 28 to 507 of the family's 1533-position model. The record is from RNAcentral.
GAUGAACGCUGGCGGCGUGCUUAACACAUGCAAGUCGAACGAGAAGUGGAGACGGAAACCUUCGGGCGGAAGACUUUAUUUCGAGUGGCGGACGGGUGAGUAACGCGUGGGUAACCUGCCUCAUACAGGGGGAUAACAGUUGGAAACGACUGUUAAUACCGCAUAAGACCACAGCACCGCAUGGUGCGGGUGUAAAAACUCCUGUGGUAUGAGAUGGACCCGCGUUCGAUUAGCCAGUUGGCGGGGUAACGGCCCACCAAAGCGAGGAUCGAUAGCCGAUAUGAGAGGAAGACCGGACACAGUGGGAAUGAGACACGGCACAAAAUACUACGGGAGGCAGGAGUGGGGAAUAUUGCAAAAUGGGGGAAACCAUGAUGAAGCGACGACGCGUGAGUGAAGAAGUAUUGCGGUAUGUAAAGCUCUAUCAGCAGGGAAGAAAAUGACGGUACCUGAGUAAGAAGCCCCGGCUAACUACGUG